UGGGGAAUAUUGCACAAUGGGCGCAAGCCUGAUGCAGCCAUGCCGCGUGUGUGAAGAAGGCCUUCGGGUUGUAAAGCACUUUCAGCGAGGAGGAAGGUGGUGAGCUUAAUACGCUCAUCAAUUGACGUUACUCGCAGAAGAAGCACCGGCUAACUCCGUGCCAGCAGCCGCGGUAAUACGGAGGGUGCAAGCGUUAAUCGGAAUUACUGGGCGUAAAGCGCACGCAGGCGGUUUGUUAAGUCAGAUGUGAAAUCCCCGGGCUCAACCUGGGAACUGCAUUUGAAACUGGCAAGCUAGAGUCUCGUAGAGGGGGGUAGAAUUCCAGGUGUAGCGGUGAAAUGCGUAGAGAUCUGGAGGAAUACCGGUGGCGAAGGCGGCCCCCUGGACGAAGACUGACGCUCAGGUGCGAAAGCGUAGGGAGCAAACAGGAUUAGAUACCCUGGUAGUCCACGCUGUAAAACGAUGUCGAUUUUGGAGGUUGUGCCCUUGAGGCGUGGCUUCCGGAGCUAACGCGUUAAAUCGACCGCCUGGGGAGUACGGCCGCAAGGUUAAAACUCAAAUGAAUUG
Molecule: ribosomal RNA, 567 nt
Filed under: uncultured bacterium
Lineage: Bacteria
Description: partial 16S ribosomal RNA
Rfam family: Bacterial small subunit ribosomal RNA
Source: RNAcentral